AAGCCUGUGAGGAUCAAUUUUAUUUGGAAUUACCGUCUGAACAUCUUUGAUGUGAAAUUUUGG
This 63-nucleotide small RNA is filed under the name Lupinus albus (white lupine). The record is from RNAcentral. Lineage: Eukaryota; Viridiplantae; Streptophyta; Magnoliopsida; Fabales; Fabaceae.